RNAcentral lists this ribosomal RNA (301 nucleotides) under uncultured bacterium. RNAcentral's name for it is "partial 16S ribosomal RNA". It matches the Rfam family "Bacterial small subunit ribosomal RNA", at positions 509 to 807 of the family's 1533-position model. The record is from RNAcentral.
CAGUCGCCACGGUAAUACGUAGGGUGCAAGCGUUGUCCGGAAUUAUUGGGCGUAAAGAGCUCGUAGGCGGUUUGUCGCGUCUGCUGUGAAAUCCCGAGGCUCAACCUCGGGCUUGCAGUGGGUACGGGCAGACUAGAGUGCGGUAGGGGAGAUUGGAAUUCCUGGUGUAGCGGUGGAAUGCGCAGAUAUCAGGAGGAACACCGAUGGCGAAGGCAGAUCUCUGGGCCGUAACUGACGCUGAGGAGCGAAAGCGUGGGGAGCGAACAGGAUUAGAUACCCCAGUAGUCCCUGUCUCUUAUAC